UUUUGCAUAUACUCGAAUA
RNAcentral lists this small nuclear RNA (19 nucleotides) under Arabidopsis thaliana (thale cress). Its description in RNAcentral is "snRNA_07393". The record is from RNAcentral. Lineage: Eukaryota; Viridiplantae; Streptophyta; Magnoliopsida; Brassicales; Brassicaceae.